CUGCAUAUUUGAUGGCUAAAGUUGACACCCCUGUAGAUGCUACAGAGGGAAACUGUAAGUGCUCACAAGCCAAGGUCUAUUGCUCUGGGAUCCAGGUAACAGAAAAGGUCUAUAAAGAGACUGAAAUUAAGUUAUAAGCCUUUUCUCCACAAGCACUUGGAACACUCUCUUAAAUUACUCCCAAUCCUGAACUUGAUUCAAUACCUUGGGAACAACCAAAUAAAUAUAUAUAAAAAAACCUGCCAUUCAAUA
Long non-coding RNA from Vitis vinifera (wine grape), 252 nucleotides. RefSeq lists it as uncharacterized. The record is from RefSeq and is a predicted model, not a curated record. The transcript is spliced from 2 exons. NCBI's taxonomy places the organism in Eukaryota, Viridiplantae, Streptophyta, Magnoliopsida, Vitales, Vitaceae.